AGAGUUUGAUCAUGGCUCAGAAUAAACGCUGGCGGCGUGCCUAACACAUGCAAGUCGAGCGAGAAAGCUCCUUCGGGAGUUAGUAAAGCGGCGAACGGGUGAGCAACGCGUGAGAAUCUACCCUUUAGUGAAGAAUACCCUCGAGAAAUCGAGGCUAAUACUGCAUAAGUCCCUUCGGGGAGAAAGAUGGCCUCUUUGCUAUCGCUAAAGGAUGAGCUUGCGUACUAUUAGCUAGUUGGCGGGGUAAAGGCCCACCAAGGCAAUGAUGGUUAACCGGCCUGAGAGGGUGUACGGUCACACUGGAACUUAGACACGGUCCAGACUCCUACGGGAGGCAGCAGUGAGGAAUCUUGCGCAAUGGGCGAAAGCCUGACGCAGCGACGCCGCGUGAAGGAUGAAGGUCUUCGGAUUGUAAACUUCUGUUAAGCGGGAAGAAAGGCCUGUUUCUAAUACAUGCAGGUUAUGACGGUACCGCUAGAGAAAGCACCGGCUAACUUCGUGCCAGCAGCCGCGGUAAUACGAGGGGUGCAAGCGUUAUUCGGAUUGAUUGGGUGUAAAGGGUGUGCAGACGGUUUGCUAAGUCACUUGUUAAAUUCUUCGGCCUAACUGAAGGUAUGCAGGUGAUACUGGCGAUCUAGAGGGUGGAAGAGAGAAGUGGAAUUCUCGGAGUAGCGGUAAAAUGCGUAGAUCUCGAGAGGAACACCAAUGGCGAAGGCAGCUUCUUGGUCCAUUCCUGACGUUCAUACACGAAAGCGUGGGGAGCAAACAGGAUUAGAUACCCUAGUAGUCC
RNAcentral lists this ribosomal RNA (790 nucleotides) under uncultured bacterium. Its description in RNAcentral is "bacterial SSU rRNA". It matches the Rfam family "Bacterial small subunit ribosomal RNA", at positions 8 to 796 of the family's 1533-position model. The record is from RNAcentral.